Molecule: ribosomal RNA, 778 nt
Filed under: uncultured Neocallimastigales
Lineage: Eukaryota; Fungi; Neocallimastigomycota; Neocallimastigomycetes; Neocallimastigales
Description: partial large subunit ribosomal RNA
Rfam family: Eukaryotic large subunit ribosomal RNA
Source: RNAcentral
UAUCUCUGUAGAGUCUGCAUAUCAAUAAGCGGAGGAAAAGAAACUAACUAGGAUUCCCUCAGUAACGGCGAGUGAAGCGGGAAGAGCUCAAAUUUGAAAUCUUCAAGGUUCUACCUUGACGAAUUGUAGUUUAAAGAAGUGUUUUCUGUUGGAGUUUUGGUAAAAGUUCUUUGGAAUAGGACAUCAUAGAGGGUGAGAAUCCCGUAUUUGACCAUUAUUUCCAGCUUUGUGAUACACUUUCAAAGAGUCGGAUUGUUUGGGAAUGCAGUCCAAAAUGGGUGGUAAAUUUCAUCUAAAGCUAAAUAUUGGCGAGAGACCGAUAGCGAACAAGUACCGUGAGGGAAAGAUGAAAAGAACUUUGAAAAGAGAGUUAAACAGUACGUGAAAUUGUCAAAAGGGAAGCGUUUGACACCAGUGUUGUUUUCUCGAAAAUCAAUUAAAAAAGGCAGGAUUUUGUAUUGUAAUUGACCUUUAUCAGCUUACUGCUACUCUUUUCUUGUCUUUUUUAAUGCACUUUACGUUUAACAAGUCAACAUCAAUUUCUUUUGUUGUAAAAGGGUCAUUGGAAGGUGGCUUUCUUUUCGGAGAAAGUGUUUAUAGCCUUUGGCCUCUGCAAUCGGAGAGAUUGAGGUCUGCAGGCGUAGAUCCUCCGGGGUUAGAUACAUUUGUGCUAAGUUAUAGCCUUUCAUAGACAACUUGUUGACUAUGAUCAGUCAUGUAGCUUACUCGCUUAUGCUAUUUUACCUACGCUUAGGAUGUUGAAGUCAUCGUAUCGCGC